CCUACGGGUGGCAGCAGUGGGGAAUAUUGCACAAUGGGCGCAAGCCUGAUGCAGCCAUGCCGCGUGUGUGAAGAAGGCCUUCGGGUUGUAAAGCACUUUCAGCGGGGAGGAAGGCGGUGAGGUUAAUAACCUCAUCGAUUGACGUUACCCGCAGAAGAAGCACCGGCUAACUCCGUGCCAGCAGCCGCGGUAAUACGGAGGGUGCAAGCGUUAAUCGGAAUUACUGGGCGUAAAGCGCACGCAGGCGGUCUGUCAAGUCGGAUGUGAAAUCCCCGGGCUCAACCUGGGAACUGCAUUCGAAACUGGCAGGCUAGAGUCUUGUAGAGGGGGGUAGAAUUCCAGGUGUAGCGGUGAAAUGCGUAGAGAUCUGGAGGAAUACCGGUGGCGAAGGCGACCCCCUGGACAAAGACUGACGCUCAGGUGCGAAAGCGUGGGGAGCAAACAGGAUUAGAUACCCCUGUAGUC
RNAcentral lists this ribosomal RNA (465 nucleotides) under uncultured Klebsiella sp. RNAcentral describes it as "bacterial SSU rRNA". It matches the Rfam family "Bacterial small subunit ribosomal RNA", at positions 338 to 795 of the family's 1533-position model. The record is from RNAcentral. Lineage: Bacteria; Pseudomonadati; Pseudomonadota; Gammaproteobacteria; Enterobacterales; Enterobacteriaceae.